Molecule: long non-coding RNA, 266 nt
Filed under: Pongo abelii (Sumatran orangutan)
Lineage: Eukaryota; Metazoa; Chordata; Mammalia; Primates; Hominidae
Description: lincRNA
Source: RNAcentral
UUUGAAAAUUAACAGGAAUUUCCAUUAGUUUUAUUUUAUAAGGUCAAAUGGCUUCUUUAAAUUCAUACUGUGAUAUUGUGUCUAGCCUGGCACAUUUCUCUACUGUAGUUCUUUUUCUGAAUUUUUAAACCCCUUUGUGAUUUCACAGAGUUAGUAAUUAUGUUGGGAUGUUGGGGCGUGGACUGGAUGUAGCUAAACAUACUCAGAUUUGACUCACAUUCAAAUGUACUCAAACAUUCAAAUUUAAUGUUGUCUGCCAAAGCAAA